RNAcentral lists this transfer RNA (59 nucleotides) under Apaloderma vittatum (bar-tailed trogon). The record is from Rfam by way of RNAcentral. Lineage: Eukaryota; Metazoa; Chordata; Aves; Trogoniformes; Trogonidae.
UAGCUCAGUCAGUUAGAGUGUGAUGCUGAUAACACCAAGGCCGCGGGUUCAAUGCCCGC